Molecule: ribosomal RNA, 393 nt
Filed under: Lactobacillus sp. 123
Lineage: Bacteria; Bacillati; Bacillota; Bacilli; Lactobacillales; Lactobacillaceae
Description: bacterial SSU rRNA
Rfam family: Bacterial small subunit ribosomal RNA
Source: RNAcentral
CCGACUUAAACAACUGAGUGGCGAACGGGUGAGUAACACGUGGGUAACCUGCCCCAAAGCGGGGGAUAACAUUUGGAAACAGACUAAUACCGCAUAACCACAGAAACCACAUGGUUUCUGUGUCAAAGAUGGUUUCGGCUAUCACUUUGGGAUGGACCCGCGGCGUAUUAGCUAGUUGGUAAGGUAAUGGCUUACCAAGGCAAUGAUACGUAGCCGAACUGAGAGGUUGAUCGGCCACAUUGGGACUGAGACGCGGCCCAAACUCCUACGGGAGGCAGCAGUAGGGAAUCUUCCACAAUGGACGAAAGUCUGAUGGAGCAACGCCGCGUGAGUGAAGAAGGUUUUCGGAUCGUAAAACUCUGUUGUCAGAGAAGAACGUGUGCGAGAGUAACU